CUGAGUAGCUGGGACUACAGGCACACACCACCACAUCGAAGUGUUCAGACAGUGUCAUCCGGACUCUGCCUCUGCAUCUUUCAGUUCUGCUUCAACAUCGGCUCCUGCUUCAGUAGGCUGUGAAGGUGCUGCACUGAGACAACAUUACCGACUUUAUGAUAUGUGGUAGUUAAGAGUAUACAGAGGGGAAGAAAUCACAUCCAGUAAGUUGUUUGCUUAACAUACUUAUCAUAGUUCUCACUUAUAAGCUAAUUUAAGCAAUUUUUUAGGUAUACAUAUUCUAAGCUAAAUCUAGCAUAGCUUUAUUUUCUGAUCUCAAAGAAGAUCUUAAUUCCACUGAAAUUAUUGUUAUCAAUAUCACUGUUUCAUAUGCUUGUUAAUAUUUAGAUAUUGUGAUACCUACAUACAUACAUACAUAUUUGAUAAAAUAUAGCAAUAGAUAUACCUAGAAAUACAUCUACCUUUUUUAAUGAGGCUUUAGCUCAUGGCAACUUGACCACAAAAAAAGGAUGACUAUAGUAUCCAUAGUCGCAAUAUACAGGAGUAAUCCUACUUCAUUGAAGUACCUUUAUGAAAGGAUAGCAUUGUACUACAUUAAGGGUCAUAAAUUAUCAUGAUACUGAUGAAUGGAUUUGUUAGAGAAAAUAAGUAAAGUGGUAUUUAGUAUGUGAGAAUCAGUUAGCACUCAAAAUUUUAUUUUUUUCACUAACUUCUAUGAAACUUUCUAUUGUUUUCUUCUGGGAUUUGACUUCUCCAUUUGGCGAGCUGUCAUUUUGACAGGGGUUAACACCAAAGAUCAUCUUUCCGGAGGGCCAUUUUACUGGCAAGCUUGAAGACAGCUGUGGUGGGAUUUGCUUCACAUUAAACCCAGUUUAGAGGAGAAUGCAGAGUCCCCCAGGUGUGUAUCUCAAGAGCACUCCACAACAAAGAUUCUGCCUGCAAUCCUCCACUUCAAGGCACAGCUAUAUAAAGAAACCAGAUGGCCCAACAGCGCCAGAGCUUCUCCACCCCUGACCAGAUAUCAGAAGGAGGUAGGAUCCCCAACCAGCACAAACUUUAACAGGUGACCCCUAGUGGCUUUUAGGUCUGUUUUUUGUUGUUGUUGUUGUUGUUGUUGUUGUUUUAAGACAGAGUCUUACUCUGUCA
Long non-coding RNA from Macaca mulatta (Rhesus monkey), 1146 nucleotides. RefSeq lists it as uncharacterized. NCBI's taxonomy places the organism in Eukaryota, Metazoa, Chordata, Mammalia, Primates, Cercopithecidae. The record is from RefSeq and is a predicted model, not a curated record.